This 460-nucleotide ribosomal RNA is filed under the name uncultured bacterium. Its description in RNAcentral is "partial 16S ribosomal RNA". It matches the Rfam family "Bacterial small subunit ribosomal RNA", at positions 338 to 795 of the family's 1533-position model. The record is from RNAcentral.
CCUACGGGUGGCUGCAGUGAGGAAUAUUGGUCAAUGGGCGGGAGCCUGAACCAGCCAAGUCGCGUGAGGGAAGACGGUCCUAUGGAUUGUAAACCUCUUUAGUCGGGGAGCAAUGCCGGGCACGUGUGCCCGGAGGGAGAGUACCCGCAGAAUAAGCAUGGGCUAACUCCGUGCAAGCACCCGCGGUAAUACGGAGGAUGCGAGUGUUAUCGGGUUUUAUGGGGUUUAAAGGGUGCGUGGGCGGAUUUUUAAUUCAUCGGUAAAAUGUGCGGGCUCAACCCGGGCUGGCAGUUGAAACUGGGGAUCUUGAGUGGGCUAGAGGUAUGCGGAAUGCGUGGUGUAGCGGUGAAAUGCAUAGAUAUCACGCAGAACUCCGAUUGCGAAGGCAGCAUACUGGCGCGCGACUGACGCUGAGGCACGAAAGCGUGGGGAUCGAACAGGAUUAGAUACCCUUGUAGUC